CGGAGUGUGGCGCAGCCUGGUAGCGCACCUGUCUCGGGGUCAGGGGGUCGCAGGUUCGAAUCCUGCCUCUCCGACCA
RNAcentral lists this transfer RNA (77 nucleotides) under Gammaproteobacteria bacterium. RNAcentral's name for it is "tRNA-Pro". It matches the Rfam family "tRNA". Rfam says of the family: Transfer RNA (tRNA) molecules are approximately 80 nucleotides in length. Lineage: Bacteria; Pseudomonadati; Pseudomonadota; Gammaproteobacteria. The record is from RNAcentral. RNAcentral also lists the same sequence under 1 other name.